Molecule: ribosomal RNA, 465 nt
Filed under: uncultured Klebsiella sp.
Lineage: Bacteria; Pseudomonadati; Pseudomonadota; Gammaproteobacteria; Enterobacterales; Enterobacteriaceae
Description: bacterial SSU rRNA
Rfam family: Bacterial small subunit ribosomal RNA
Source: RNAcentral
CCUACGGGGGGCUGCAGUGGGGAAUAUUGCACAAUGGGCGCAAGCCUGAUGCAGCCAUGCCGCGUGUGUGAAGAGGGCCUUCGGGUUGUAAAGCACUUUCAGCGGGGAGGAAGGCGUUAAGGUUAAUAACCUUGGCGAUUGACGUUACCUGCAGAAGAAGCACCGGCUAACUCCGUGCCAGCAGCCGCGGUAAUACGGAGGGUGCAAGCGUUAAUCGGAAUUACUGGGCGUAAAGCGCACGCAGGCGGUCUGUCAAGUCGGAUGUGAAAUCCCCGGGCUCAACCUGGGAACUGCAUUCGAAACUAGCAGGCUAGAGUCCUGUAGAGGGGGGUAGAAUUCCAGGUGUAGCGGUGAAAUGCGUAGAGAUCUGGAGGAAUACCGGUGGCGAAGGCGGCCCCCUGGACAAAGACUGACGCUCAGGUGCGAAAGCGUGGGGAGCAAACAGGAUUAGAUACCCGAGUAGUC